GAAAUGCGAUAAGUAGUGUGAAUUGCAGAAUUCAGUGAAUCAUCGAAUCUUUGAACGCACAUUGCACUUCCUGGUAUUCCGGGGAGUAUGCCCGUUUCAGAAUCAUUUAAACUCUCACUAGGUUUUCUUCUGAGGAUCUAGUGGACGUUGGGCGCUUUGACUAGUUCGACUAGUCAUCGCCUUAAAACAAGUUUUUUUGUUCUGCAGCUUGUAAGCAGAUCAAAGUGCAACAGAUUUAUUUCUAUAACAUUUUGAUCAUACUCUCAAGUCUUGCUUUUUAAAACUUGGUCUGAAAUCGGGCAAGAAAACCCGCUGAACUUAA
RNAcentral lists this unclassified non-coding RNA (322 nucleotides) under uncultured Chytridiomycota. Its description in RNAcentral is "sequence contains ITS1". The stretch from base 1 to 105 matches the Rfam family "5.8S ribosomal RNA", at positions 50 to 154 of the family's 154-position model. Lineage: Eukaryota; Fungi; Chytridiomycota. The record is from RNAcentral.